This 253-nucleotide ribosomal RNA is filed under the name uncultured bacterium. Its description in RNAcentral is "partial 16S ribosomal RNA". It matches the Rfam family "Bacterial small subunit ribosomal RNA", at positions 524 to 776 of the family's 1533-position model. The record is from RNAcentral.
UACGGGGGGGGCAAGCGUUGUUCGGAAUUACGGGGCGUAAAGGGCUCGUAGGCGGCCAACUAAGUCAUACGUGAAAUCCCUCAGCUUAACUGGGGAACUGCGUGUGAUACUGGAUGGCUUGGAUUUGGGAGAGGGAUGCGGAAUUCCAGGUGUAGCGGUGAAAUGCGUAGAUAUCUGGAGGAACACCGGUGGCGAAGGCGGCAUCCUGGACCAAUAUUGACGCUGAGGAGCGAAAGCCAGGGGAGCAAACGGG